This 197-nucleotide ribosomal RNA is filed under the name uncultured bacterium. RNAcentral describes it as "partial 16S ribosomal RNA". It matches the Rfam family "Bacterial small subunit ribosomal RNA", at positions 328 to 539 of the family's 1533-position model. The record is from RNAcentral.
ACGCUCGACACCUACGGAGGCAGCAGUGGGGGAUAUUGCACAAUGGGGGGAACCCUGAUGCAGCGACGCCGCGUGAGGGAAGAAGGUUUUCGGAUUGUAAACCUCUGUCCUCAGGGAAGAAGAUGACGGUACCUGAGGAGGAAGCCACGGCUAACUACGUGCCAGCAGCCACGGUAAUCUGAGCGGGCUGGCAAGGC